Lepidothrix coronata (blue-crowned manakin) is the source of this 1057-nucleotide RNA transcript. It is a transcript of the gene named LYR motif containing 9, with no coding region annotated. NCBI's taxonomy places the organism in Eukaryota, Metazoa, Chordata, Aves, Passeriformes, Pipridae. The record is from RefSeq and is a predicted model, not a curated record. The transcript has 11 exons.
UCCUGGGCUCGGGGGUCUUUUCUCAGGUCUCUCAGAGCUGCAGAGCGGGGCUGCAGCGGGGCCCGGGGCUGUGGCACGGCUGUGGCACCGGGUCUCACCAAGGCAAAUCCCCCGCUCGCGGCGGGUUCCAGCCGUUCCCAGCAGUGUCUUCCCGGCCCCCGCAGCGUGCCCAGGACACGCUCAGGGGGCCCCGUGCGAGGUCUCUCGCUUCCUUUUGGACUUGGACAGACCUAAUCUGUGAAGAUAAUUAAAGUUCCUGUGCUCUGGAUGCUCCCGGGCGAUGCCGCCGCUGCCGAGCGCGGAGCGGGUGCGGAGCGCGGUGCAGCUGUACCGGUACCUGCUGCGCUGCUGCCGCCGCCUGCCCGAGGGGAGCGUCUGCCAGCACUACCGACACAGCAUCCGACAGAGUUUCAAAGUUCAUGCUGAUGAAGAUGACCCUGAGCGAAUCCAGCAGAUCAUUAAAAGAGCCAUUGAAGAUGCUGACUGGGUGAUGAAUAAAUAUGAAAAACAGAAGAAGAGGAAGGAUGAAGACAAGAAGGACACUGUUCAAGAGGGAAAGCACCAAGGAGCUGGACGAUGCAACUGGGACAUGUCUGCAGCUCCAAAUGUCCGAGGUGCCAGCUGAGAACAUCAGACCAAAGGUGCUUAACUUGGGAGACCUUCAACAUUAUACUUGGUGAUAAUCUUACACAUUUCACUGUGUGGCCGUUUAACCUGAGGAACACCAGUUUUACAAAACAGCAUCUGCAGCAGCCUGGAUGGACAAGUUCAAGAGGACACAGGGAAGCACCAGGACACAGGGAAGCACCAGGACACAGGGAAGCACCACACUGGCAGCACUGCCUGAAGAGAGCUGGAUGUUAAAGACUGCUCGUCCCCUACUCACUGACAGUGUAGGAAACCACACAAAGCUUCCAAUAAAACCAGUGGAUCUGUGGAGGUUCCAGAGAAUAAAGGCAGGGAGAAUUGGAGGGAUACAGAGCCUGAGAGAUUAAAGUCAAGAAACUUUGACAAAGAGCCUCUUCUGGCAGGGUUGGGAGCACCUCACAGAGCCCGG